This 433-nucleotide ribosomal RNA is filed under the name uncultured bacterium. RNAcentral describes it as "partial 16S ribosomal RNA". It matches the Rfam family "Bacterial small subunit ribosomal RNA", at positions 29 to 507 of the family's 1533-position model. The record is from RNAcentral.
AACGAACGCUGGCGGCAUGCCUAACACAUGCAAGUCGAACGAGACCUUCGGGUCUAGUGGCGCACGGGUGCGUAACGCGUGGGAACCUGCCCUUAGGUUCGGAAUAACUCCCCGAAAGGGGUGCUAAUACCGGAUAAUGUCUUCGGACCAAAGAUUUAUCGCCUUUGGAUGGGCCCGCGUUGGAUUAGCUAGUUGGUAGGGUAAAAGCCUACCAAGGCGACGAUCCAUAGUUGGUCUGAGAGGAUGAUCAGCCACACUGGGACUGAGACACGGCCCAGACUCCUACGGGAGGCAGCAGUGGGGAAUAUUGGACAAUGGGCGAAAGCCUGAUCCAGCAAUGCCGCGUGAGUGAUGAAGGCCUUAGGGUUGUAAAGCUCUUUUACCCGGGAUGAUAAUGACAGUACCGGGAGAAUAAGCGCCGGCUAACUCCGUG